Homo sapiens (human) is the source of this 2017-nucleotide long non-coding RNA. NCBI's taxonomy places the organism in Eukaryota, Metazoa, Chordata, Mammalia, Primates, Hominidae. The record is from Ensembl.
UCUGCGAGGGUUGAGUACAAUUAAUAAAACAAACUUUUGAGGUACAUCAGUAGUUCCUGAACAUUCAUGUUUACAAACAUUUGUUAAUUUGCCCAGUCCUGUCAUUUUCUGAAACUGUCUUUGUUGUCAAUCUGUUUUUGUUUUUUGAGAUGGAAUUUCACUCUUGUCGCCCAGGCUGGAGUGCAAUGGUGCAAGCUCAGCUCACGGCAACCUCCCCCUCCCAGGUUCAAAUGAUUCUCCAGCCUCAGCCUCCUGAGUAGCUGGGAUUACAGGCGUGUGCCACCACGCCCAGCUAAUUUUUGUAUUUUUAGAGAGAUGGGGUUUCACCGUGUUGGCCAGGCUGGUCUUGAACUCCUGACCUCAAGUGAUCUGCCCGCCUCUGCCUCCCAAAGUGCUAGGAUUACAGGCUUGAGACAUCAGGCCCGGCUGUCAAUCUUUUUAAUCACCUACAAGUGAUGUUUACAUCUGUUUGCCCUCUCAAUCUUUACAACUUGACAGUAUGUGCCUGCUAACCUAAAAUAAACAUAUGCUUUUCUCAAUAUAUAUGGAGUUUUUAGGCUAUACAGUAAAUUAUUUGGCAAAUACAAAGAGAUGAUCCUCUGGAGUAAAUCUUGUCAACUUAACCAACCUAAGUUAUUUAUCUUCCCAUACUAAUCCCAACCCAAAACCGCUGGUCUCCUAUCCCAAAAACUGUUACACAAGCUCCGAAACCCCCAAUCCUGCCCCCAGUCCCUAUGUACACAUCAUACCAUUAAGUCUCUUUUCAGUCUACAAUGUGAAAAAAAGGCCAUCUCAAUUCUAUUUUUACACCAAGUUUCAGUUUAAGAAUCAUGUAAAACAUUUCCAGUUCAACAAAUCUUUACUCAGUGCCUCUCAAGCAUUCUAUUUUAUUUUAAGCAUUCUAUUUUAAAUUAAUAAAAGUUAUUAAUAUUAAUUUUAAAAAACCUAUUGUGUAUGAUUCAUUAAUGGUUGUAUCAGAUCAUGUAAAACGUUUCCAGUUUAACAAAUCUUUACAAAGUGCCUCUCAAGCGUUCUAUUUUAAAUUAAUAAAAGUAAUUACUAAAAGUUAUUAAUUUUUAAAAACCUAUUGUGUAUGAUCCAUUAAUGAUUGUAUCAAAUACCCUAUGCAACUAAAAAUAACACCUAUGAUCACAUUUAAAUCAAGAGCUAUGUAUAGUCUAAGGAUUUUUUAACAUAUCUUUGAAAAUAUGCAAAAUGGAAAAGAAAUCUAUGAUUGCCUUGAUGACAUUUACAGCAAUUACAAAGAGAUUUCUUCUGAAAUGCAAACUAUCUGCUUUCCAAUGUUACCUCCUGUCAUCAUGGACUGGAAUGCAGCUGGAAAAAGAGAAAGUAGGUUAUCUGAAAAGAUAAAUGUCACUAUCAUACUUGUUUCCAAAAGGUACAACAUAUAAAAUUAUGUUAAAUAACUUUUUCAAUGAUUUUGAAUAUUAAGCAUAGAAGAAAAUGGUCAUGAAAAGAAAUCUCAAGUAAAAAGUUACACACAAACUAACCCAAUUAACAUCUUAAAAAAAUGUUUUGCCCAUACUGGAAAGAUUUAAUUGGUAUCUAACUGGUAUGCACAUCAAUGUUCAUUGUUUACAGUAUCUGAAGACUAGAGGCAAAAAAAAAUGGGAAUAAAAUGUGAGUGAAGGCCGGGCAUGGGGCCUCACGACUGUAAUCCCAGCACUUUGGGAGGCCAAGGUGGGUGGAUCACUUGAAGUCAGGAGUUUAAGACCAGCCUGACCAACAUGGUGAAACCCCAUCUCUACUAAAAAUACAAAAAUCAGCUGGGAGUGGUGGUGUGUGCCUGUAGUCCCAGCUACUCGGGGGGCUAAGGUGGGAGCAUCACCUGAACCUGGGAGGUAGAGGCUGCAGUGAGCCAUGAUCGCACCACUGCACUCCAGCCCGGGUGACAGAGCAUGGCCCUGUCUCAAAAAUUAAAAAAAGGGCUAGGCACUCACACCUGUAAAUUCCAGCACUUUGGGAGGCUGAGGCGGGCAGAUCACUUGAGGUCAGG